GACGAACGCUGGCGGCGUGCUUAACACAUGCAAGUCGAACGGAAAGGCCCUGCUUUUGUGGGGUGCUCGAGUGGCGAACAGGUGAGUAACACGUGAGUAACCUGCCCUUGACUUUGGGAUAACUUCGGGAAACUGGGGCUAAUACCGGAUAGGAGCUCCUGCUGCAUGGUGGGGGUUGGAAAGUUUCGGCGGUUGGGGAUGGACUCGCGGCUUAUCAGCUUGUUGGUGGGGUAGUGGCUUACCAAGGCUUUGACGGGUAGCCGGCCUGAGAGGGUGACCGGCCACAUUGGGACUGAGAUACGGCCCAGACUCCUACGGGAGGCAGCAGUGGGGAAUAUUGCACAAUGGGCGGAAGCCUGAUGCAGCAACGCCGCGUGCGGGAUGACGGCCUUCGGGUUGUAAACCGCUUUCGCCUGUGACGAAGCGUGAGUGACGGUAAUGGGUAAAGAAGCACCGGCUAACUACGUG
RNAcentral lists this ribosomal RNA (468 nucleotides) under uncultured bacterium. RNAcentral's name for it is "partial 16S ribosomal RNA". It matches the Rfam family "Bacterial small subunit ribosomal RNA", at positions 28 to 507 of the family's 1533-position model. The record is from RNAcentral.